GUAGGUGGCAAGCGUUGUCCGGAAUUAUUGGGCGUAAAGGGCUCGCAGGCGGUUUCUUAAGUCUGAUGUGAAAGCCCCCGGCUCAACCGGGGAGGGUCAUUGGAAACUGGGGAACUUGAGUGCAGAAGAGGAGAGUGGAAUUCCACGUGUAGCGGUGAAAUGCGUAGAGAUGUGGAGGAACACCAGUGGCGAAGGCGACUCUCUGGUCUGUAACUGACGCUGAGGAGCGAAAGCGUGGGGAGCGAACAGGGAUUAGAUACCCUGGUAGUCCACGCCGUAAACGAUGAGUGCUAAGUGUUAGGGGGUUUCCGCCCCCUUAGUGCUGCAGCUAACGCAUUAAGCACUCCGCCUGGGGAUACGGUCGCAAGACUG
Molecule: ribosomal RNA, 372 nt
Filed under: uncultured organism
Description: partial 16S ribosomal RNA
Rfam family: Bacterial small subunit ribosomal RNA
Source: RNAcentral